This 564-nucleotide ribosomal RNA is filed under the name uncultured Lactobacillus sp. Its description in RNAcentral is "bacterial SSU rRNA". It matches the Rfam family "Bacterial small subunit ribosomal RNA", at positions 28 to 549 of the family's 1533-position model. The record is from RNAcentral. Lineage: Bacteria; Bacillati; Bacillota; Bacilli; Lactobacillales; Lactobacillaceae.
GAUGAACGCCGGCGGUGUGCGUAAUACAUGCAAGUCGAACGCGUUGGCCCAAUUGAUUGAUGGUGCUUGCACCUGAUUGAUUUUGGUCGCCAACGAGUGGCGGACGGGUGAGUAACACGUAGGCAACCUGCCCAGAAGCGGGGGACAACAUUUGGAAACAAGUGCUAAUACCGCAUAACAACGAAAACCACAUGGUUUUCGUUUAAAAGAUGGUUUCGGCUAUCACUUCUGGAUGGGCCUGCGGCGCAUUAGCUUGUUGGUGAGGUAACGGCUCACCAAGGCUGUGAUGCGUAGCCGAGUUGAGAGACUGAUCGGCCACAAUGGAACUGAGACACGGUCCAUACUCCUACGGGAGGCAGCAGUAGGGAAUCUUCCACAAUGGGCGCAAGCCUGAUGGAGCAACACCGCGUGAGUGAAGAAGGGUUUCGGCUCGUAAAACUCUGUUGUUGAAGAAGAACGUGCGUGAGAGUAACUGUUCACGCAGUGACGGUAUUCAACCAGAAAGCCACGGCUAACUACGUGCCAGCAGCCGCGGUAAUACGUAGGUGGCAAGCGUUAUCCGGA